RNAcentral lists this ribosomal RNA (253 nucleotides) under uncultured bacterium. RNAcentral's name for it is "partial 16S ribosomal RNA". It matches the Rfam family "Bacterial small subunit ribosomal RNA", at positions 524 to 776 of the family's 1533-position model. The record is from RNAcentral.
UACAGAGACUGCAAGCGUUAUUCGGAUUCACUGGGCGUAAAGGGUGCGCAGGUGGCCAAGUGUGUGAGGCGUGAAAGCCCGGGGCUUAACCCCGGAAUUGCACCUCAAACUACAUGGCUAGAGCAUUGGAGAGGGGAGCAGAAUUCACGGUGUAGCAGUGAAAUGCGUAGAUAUCGUGAGGAACACCAGAGGCGAAGGCGGCUACCUGGACAAUUGCUGACGCUCAGGCACGAAAGCGUGGGGAGCAAAAGGG